Molecule: transfer RNA, 45 nt
Organism: Saccharothrix sp. ST-888
Lineage: Bacteria; Bacillati; Actinomycetota; Actinomycetes; Pseudonocardiales; Pseudonocardiaceae
Rfam family: tRNA
About the family: Transfer RNA (tRNA) molecules are approximately 80 nucleotides in length. Their secondary structure includes four short double-helical elements and three loops (D, anti-codon, and T loops).
Source: Rfam
GCGGACGUGGCUCAGUUGGUAGAGCAUCACCUUGCCAAGGUGAGG